Molecule: long non-coding RNA, 1110 nt
Filed under: Anas platyrhynchos platyrhynchos (common mallard)
Lineage: Eukaryota; Metazoa; Chordata; Aves; Anseriformes; Anatidae
Description: lncRNA (ENSAPLG00000027886.1)
Source: RNAcentral
AGCUAAAAAAGUAUCGAACGCAGCUCAUAUGAGUCUGGCCGAUGGCGGGAAGCCAAUCAAGGGACAAAGGCAUUGUGUCAGUGUGUGGAUGGGAAAGUACCUAAGACGGGAUAACGGUUGAGGGAAUGAGGAGCUAGCUGAUAAGAUAGGGAAAGUUGCACUAACCAAUAGUGAGCUUAGCUUUUGCAAUAUGUAUGAGCUAAUUAUAUUGAAUCAUAUAAAAGACGGCUGAGCUAUCCAAUAAAUCAAAGUUCACUGAUCACUCAUAUUGAGCGUCUGUGUCUUCCUUCCGUCAACAACAAGAUAGUGCUGCUGGAAGAGAUCAGGAGGCUGAGGGAGUGUUGCAGACAGCAUGGUCCCUAAUGGAGAGGCCAAAGCAACCAAAAUGAGAGCUUUUUGUCUCUCUGCCUCCCUGUAGCAGUAAGAUCGUGAUACUGAGCUUGUGGUAAAGCACAUUCACAUUUAUUCACCUUUAGAUGGCGCUGGAAAGCCACAUUUCAAAUAGCAGCUCACAGCUUAACUCGAAGUCUUCCUUUGUUAGAACGUCAAUCAAUGUACCUGCAACUAUUGUGCUGACUCAGCACUGGGUGUGUGGGUGGGUGUGCACGCUGUUUUCACUAAUUUUUGUGUGUCAGCAAAAACUUUGCAGUAUUAGGACUAUGGGAGAGCGCUGAAACCAAUAUAAAUGAGUCACUCAAAUAACCAAAUGGUAUAAUAAUGUGGAAGAUAACGGUGAAGGCCUGGGCAGCGGCAUACCUUCAAGGGAAUAUCUUCACGUCCCAGUGGCAGCAGUGUUACAGAGUUGAACACACACCCUAUCAUCAUUUCAACUACUGUGUUGCUGUUAUUACCCUGCACACCCGCCUUGAAUUCAUACUUGUGAAUUGUCUCAGGUACAGCACUUUCUCAGAAUAUUUCCUGCUGGGGGAGGCUAUUUUCCAGCACGCGAACAGGUUAUACCUUCUCAGGUUCUCCAAGAACUUCCAAAUGUUGCAGUUCUGUUUCAGAGGGUUAAGCAUGGGUCAACAGGCACAAGCGGGGCACGGGAAGCAGGCAGGAGAAACGGGCUUCAGCACCCUCAGAUAGGAGCCUAGGGCAAGGCCAAGAGCU